This 2904-nucleotide ribosomal RNA is filed under the name Escherichia coli. RNAcentral describes it as "23S ribosomal RNA". It matches the Rfam family "Bacterial large subunit ribosomal RNA". The record is from RNAcentral. Lineage: Bacteria; Pseudomonadati; Pseudomonadota; Gammaproteobacteria; Enterobacterales; Enterobacteriaceae.
GGUUAAGCGACUAAGCGUACACGGUGGAUGCCCUGGCAGUCAGAGGCGAUGAAGGACGUGCUAAUCUGCGAUAAGCGUCGGUAAGGUGAUAUGAACCGUUAUAACCGGCGAUUUCCGAAUGGGGAAACCCAGUGUGAUUCGUCACACUAUCAUUAACUGAAUCCAUAGGUUAAUGAGGCGAACCGGGGGAACUGAAACAUCUAAGUACCCCGAGGAAAAGAAAUCAACCGAGAUUCCCUCAGUAGCGGCGAGCGAACGGGGAGCAGCCCAGAGCCUGAAUCAGUGUGUGUGUUAGUGGAAGCGUCUGGAAAGGCGCGCGAUACAGGGUGACAGCCCCGUACACAAAAAUGCACAUGCUGUGAGCUCGAUGAGUAGGGCGGGACACGUGGUAUCCUGUCUGAAUAUGGGGGGACCAUCCUCCAAGGCUAAAUACUCCUGACUGACCGAUAGUGAACCAGUACCGUGAGGGAAAGGCGAAAAGAACCCCGGCGAGGGGAGUGAAAAAGAACCUGAAACCGUGUACGUACAAGCAGUGGGAGCCUCUUUAUGGGGUGACUGCGUACCUUUUGUAUAAUGGGUCAGCGACUUAUAUUCUGUAGCAAGGUUAACCGAAUAGGGGAGCCGAAGGGAAACCGAGUCUUAACUGGGCGUUAAGUUGCAGGGUAUAGACCCGAAACCCGGUGAUCUAGCCAUGGGCAGGUUGAAGGUUGGGUAACACUAACUGGAGGACCGAACCGACUAAUGUUGAAAAAUUAGCGGAUGACUUGUGGCUGGGGGUGAAAGGCCAAUCAAACCGGGAGAUAGCUGGUUCUCCCCGAAAGCUAUUUAGGUAGCGCCUCGUGAAUUCAUCUCCGGGGGUAGAGCACUGUUUCGGCAAGGGGGUCAUCCCGACUUACCAACCCGAUGCAAACUGCGAAUACCGGAGAAUGUUAUCACGGGAGACACACGGCGGGUGCUAACGUCCGUCGUGAAGAGGGAAACAACCCAGACCGCCAGCUAAGGUCCCAAAGUCAUGGUUAAGUGGGAAACGAUGUGGGAAGGCCCAGACAGCCAGGAUGUUGGCUUAGAAGCAGCCAUCAUUUAAAGAAAGCGUAAUAGCUCACUGGUCGAGUCGGCCUGCGCGGAAGAUGUAACGGGGCUAAACCAUGCACCGAAGCUGCGGCAGCGACACUAUGUGUUGUUGGGUAGGGGAGCGUUCUGUAAGCCUGUGAAGGUGUGCUGUGAGGCAUGCUGGAGGUAUCAGAAGUGCGAAUGCUGACAUAAGUAACGAUAAAGCGGGUGAAAAGCCCGCUCGCCGGAAGACCAAGGGUUCCUGUCCAACGUUAAUCGGGGCAGGGUGAGUCGACCCCUAAGGCGAGGCCGAAAGGCGUAGUCGAUGGGAAACAGGUUAAUAUUCCUGUACUUGGUGUUACUGCGAAGGGGGGACGGAGAAGGCUAUGUUGGCCGGGCGACGGUUGUCCCGGUUUAAGCGUGUAGGCUGGUUUUCCAGGCAAAUCCGGAAAAUCAAGGCUGAGGCGUGAUGACGAGGCACUACGGUGCUGAAGCAACAAAUGCCCUGCUUCCAGGAAAAGCCUCUAAGCAUCAGGUAACAUCAAAUCGUACCCCAAACCGACACAGGUGGUCAGGUAGAGAAUACCAAGGCGCUUGAGAGAACUCGGGUGAAGGAACUAGGCAAAAUGGUGCCGUAACUUCGGGAGAAGGCACGCUGAUAUGUAGGUGAAGCGACUUGCUCGUGGAGCUGAAAUCAGUCGAAGAUACCAGCUGGCUGCAACUGUUUAUUAAAAACACAGCACUGUGCAAACACGAAAGUGGACGUAUACGGUGUGACGCCUGCCCGGUGCCGGAAGGUUAAUUGAUGGGGUUAGCGGUAACGCGAAGCUCUUGAUCGAAGCCCCGGUAAACGGCGGCCGUAACUAUAACGGUCCUAAGGUAGCGAAAUUCCUUGUCGGGUAAGUUCCGACCUGCACGAAUGGCGUAAUGAUGGCCAGGCUGUCUCCACCCGAGACUCAGUGAAAUUGAACUCGCUGUGAAGAUGCAGUGUACCCGCGGCAAGACGGAAAGACCCCGUGAACCUUUACUAUAGCUUGACACUGAACAUUGAGCCUUGAUGUGUAGGAUAGGUGGGAGGCUUUGAAGUGUGGACGCCAGUCUGCAUGGAGCCGACCUUGAAAUACCACCCUUUAAUGUUUGAUGUUCUAACGUUGGCCCCUUAUCGGGGUUGCGGACAGUGUCUGGUGGGUAGUUUGACUGGGGCGGUCUCCUCCUAAAGAGUAACGGAGGAGCACGAAGGUUGGCUAAUCCUGGUCGGACAUCAGGAGGUUAGUGCAAUGGCAUAAGCCAGCUUGACUGCGAGCGUGACGGCGCGAGCAGGUGCGAAAGCAGGUCAUAGUGAUCCGGUGGUUCUGAAUGGAAGGGCCAUCGCUCAACGGAUAAAAGGUACUCCGGGGAUAACAGGCUGAUACCGCCCAAGAGUUCAUAUCGACGGCGGUGUUUGGCACCUCGAUGUCGGCUCAUCACAUCCUGGGGCUGAAGUAGGUCCCAAGGGUAUGGCUGUUCGCCAUUUAAAGUGGUACGCGAGCUGGGUUUAGAACGUCGUGAGACAGUUCGGUCCCUAUCUGCCGUGGGCGCUGGAGAACUGAGGGGGGCUGCUCCUAGUACGAGAGGACCGGAGUGGACGCAUCACUGGUGUUCGGGUUGUCAUGCCAAUGGCACUGCCCGGUAGCUAAAUGCGGAAGAGAUAAGUGCUGAAAGCAUCUAAGCACGAAACUUGCCCCGAGAUGAGUUCUCCCUGACCCUUUAAGGGUCCUGAAGGAACGUUGAAGACGACGACGUUGAUAGGCCGGGUGUGUAAGCGCAGCGAUGCGUUGAGCUAACCGGUACUAAUGAACCGUGAGGCUUAACCUU